RNAcentral lists this unclassified non-coding RNA (377 nucleotides) under uncultured Caryophanales bacterium. RNAcentral's name for it is "uncultured Bacillales bacterium contains 16S-23S intergenic spacer region". The record is from RNAcentral. Lineage: Bacteria; Bacillati; Bacillota; Bacilli; Caryophanales.
UCCGACUUCUUGCCGGCAGUCACUCCAGAGUGCCCAACUCAAUGCUGGCAACUGAAGUCAAGGGUUGCGCUCGUUGCGGGACUUAACCCAACAUCUCACGACACGAGCUGACGACAACCAUGCACCACCUGUCUGGGAUGUCCCGAAGGAACGGGCUGUCUCCAGCCCCGUCAUCCCGAUGUCAAGCCCUGGUAAGGUUCUUCGCGUUGCUUCGAAUUAAACCACAUGCUCCACUGCUUGUGCGGGCCCCCGUCAAUUCCUUUGAGUUUCAGCCUUGCGGCCGUACUCCCCAGGCGGAGUGCUUAUUGUGUUAACUACGGCACUAAGGGUGUCAAAACCCCUAACACCUAGCACUCAUCGUUUACGGCGUGGACUAC